UCAAGCGAACAAGGGCGCAGGGCGAAUGCCUUGGCACUGGGAGCCGAUGAAAGACGUGAUAAGCUGCGAUAAGCUUCGGGGAGCUGCAAAUAAGCAUUGAUCCGGAGAUUUCUGAAUGAGGAAACUCACCUGGGUUCAUACUCAGGUACGUUAUACUGAACUUCAAAAUAGGUAUAUCGAGGGAACCGCCUGAACUGAAACAUCUAAGUAGGGCGAGGAAGAGACAUCAAACGAGAUUCCGUAAGUAGUGGCGAGCGAACGCGGAAGAGGGCAAACCGAAGGUAGAAAUACCUUCGGGGUACGGAGCGCAUUUAAGACUCAAGUUGUUAACCGAACGGCAUGGGAAGGCCGGUCAGAGAGUGUGAGAACCACGUAGGUGAAAAUGACGAGAGCUGAGCGAUUUCCAGAGUACGGCCAGACACGUGAAACCUGGUCGGAAGAUGGGGGGACCACCCUCCAACCCUAAAUACUACCCAGUGACCGAUAGCGUAUAGUACUGUGAAGGAAAGGUGAAAAGCACCCCGGGAGGGGAGUGAAAAAGAACCUGAAACCCUGUGCCUACAAGCACCUAGAGCACGUCAAUGUGUGAUAGGGUACUUUUUGUAGAACGGUCCGGCGAGCGAUUGUAUGCAGCAAGGUUAAGGACUUAAGGUCUGGAGCCGAAGCGAAAGCGAGUUUGAAAAGGGCGUUAAGUUGCAUAUAAUGGGCCCGAAACCGGGUGACCUACCCAUGGUCAGGUUGAAGUGGAAGUAAAAUUCCAUGGAGGACCGAACCGACCUCCGUUGAAAAGGCGGCGGAUGAACUGUGGGUAGCGGAGAAAUUCCAAUCGAACCCGGAGAUAGCUGGUUCUCCCCGAAAUAGUUUUAGGACUAGCCUCAAGUUAGAUACCUGGAGGUAAAGCACUGAAUAGCCUAGCGGCCGAGAGGUUAGCGAAGCUUAUCAAACUCAGAAUGCCAGAGUAUUGAUGCUUGGGAGUCAGACAGUGUCAGAUAAAUGUCAUUGUCAAAAGGGAAACAGCCCAGAUCUACAGCUAAGGUCCCAAAGUCAGGUUAAGUGGAAAACGAUGUGAAGAUACGCAGACAACCAGGAUGUUGGCUCAGAAGCAGCCACUCAUUCAAAGAGUGCGUAAUAGCUCACUGGUCGAGCGUCUUUGCGCGGAGAAUUUAACGGGGCUAAACCUGACACCGAAGCUUAGGCAAUCCAGUAAUGGAUUGGGUAGGGGAGCGUUGUAUACGCGGAGAAACAGUAGCGUAAGCGGCUGUGGAGUGUAUAGAAGUGAGAAUGCCGGAAUGAGUAGCGCGAAUGCAGUGAGAAUCUGCAUGGCCGAAAGCCUCAGGUUUUUGGAGGAAGGUUCGUCCGCUCCAAGUUAGUCGGGAGCUAAGGUGAGGCCGGAAGGCGUAGCCGAUGCACAGACGGUAGAGAUUCCGUCACCACCAAAAGAGUUAAGCACAGGGACACAUUUGAAGUCUCAGAGCCGGGUGUUGGUUCCGGUAGAGAUCGAGGGAAGUUAGUACCGAAGUCUGGGAUGGAAGAUGGCGAGAAAAGCUGUGUGUAUUUCUGAGGUGCCCGUACCGCAAACCGACACAGGUAGGUAGGAAGAAGAUUCUAAGGCCAACGGGAGAAGGGUUGUUAAGGAACUCGGCAAAUUGACCCCGUAACUUCGGGAGAAGGGGUGCUCCAGAGAUGGAGCCGCAGAGAAUCGGCCCAAGCAACUGUUUACCAAAAACACAGGUUUGUGCUAAAUCGAAAGAUGACGUAUACGAGCUGACGCCUGCCCGGUGCUGGAAGGUUAAGAGGAGAUGUGCAAGCAUUGAAUCGAAGCCCCAGUGAACGGCGGCCGUAACUAUAACGGUCCUAAGGUAGCGAAAUUCCUUGUCAGGUAAGUUCUGACCCGCAUGAAAGGCGUAAUGAUUUGGGCACUGUCUCAACAGCCCGCCCGGCGAAAUUGUAGUACCGGUGAAGAUGCCGGUUACC
Molecule: ribosomal RNA, 1974 nt
Filed under: human gut metagenome
Description: bacterial LSU rRNA
Rfam family: Bacterial large subunit ribosomal RNA
Source: RNAcentral